Molecule: ribosomal RNA, 254 nt
Filed under: uncultured bacterium
Lineage: Bacteria
Description: partial 16S ribosomal RNA
Rfam family: Bacterial small subunit ribosomal RNA
Source: RNAcentral
GACGAACCGUGCGAACGUUAUUCGGAAUCACUGGGCUUAAAGCGCGUGUAGGCGGGCCGGCACGUCUUUCGCUGAAAUCCCCCGGCUCAACCGGGGAAGGGGCGAGGAUACGACCGGCCUGGAGGGGGGUAGGGGCGAGUGGAAUUCCCGGUGUAGCGGUGAAAUGCGCAGAUAUCGGGAGGAACACCAGUAGCGAAGGCGGCUCGCUGGGCCAUUCCUGACGCUGAGACGCGAAAGCUAGGGGAGCGAACAGG